This 74-nucleotide transfer RNA is filed under the name Jeotgalicoccus aerolatus. RNAcentral describes it as "tRNA-Gly". It matches the Rfam family "tRNA". From Rfam's summary of the family: Transfer RNA (tRNA) molecules are approximately 80 nucleotides in length. Their secondary structure includes four short double-helical elements and three loops (D, anti-codon, and T loops). Lineage: Bacteria; Bacillati; Bacillota; Bacilli; Caryophanales; Staphylococcaceae. The record is from RNAcentral.
GCGGUUAUAGUUAAAUGGUAUAACCUCAGCCUUCCAAGCUGAUGUUGUCGGUUCGAUCCCGUCUACCCGCUCCA